GCGGACGGGUGAGUAAUGUCUGGGAAACUGCCUGAUGGAGGGGGAUAACUACUGGAAACGGUGGCUAAUACCGCAUAACGUCGCAAGACCAAAGAGGGGGACCUUCGGGCCUCUUGCCAUCAGAUGUGCCCAGAUGGGAUUAGCUUGUUGGUGAGGUAACGGCUCACCAAGGCGACGAUCCCUAGCUGGUCUGAGAGGAUGACCAGCCACACUGGAACUGAGACACGGUCCAGACUCCUACGGGAGGCAGCAGUGGGGAAUAUUGCACAAUGGGCGCAAGCCUGAUGCAGCCAUGCCGCGUGUAUGAAGAAGGCCUUCGGGUUGUAAAGUACUUUCAGCGGGGAGGAAGGUGUUGUGGUUAAUAACCGCAGCAAUUGACGUUACCCGCAGAAGAAGCACCGGCUAACUCCGUGCCAGCAGCCGCGGUAAUACGGAGGGUGCAAGCGUUAAUCGGAAUUACUGGGCGUAAAGCGCACGCAGGCGGUCUGUCAAGUCGGAUGUGAAAUCCCCGGGCUCAACCUGGGAACUGCAUUCGAAACUGGCAGGCUUGAGUCUUGUAGAGGGGGGUAGAAUUCCAGGUGUAGCGGUGAAAUGCGUAGAGAUCUGGAGGAAUACCGGUGGCGAAGGCGGCCCCCUGGACAAAGACUGACGCUCAGGUGCGAAAGCGUGGGGAGCAAACAGGAUUAGAUACCCUGGUAGUCCACGCCGUAAACGAUGUCUACUUGGAGGUUGUGCCCUUGAGGCGUGGCUUCCGGAGCUAACGCGUUAAGUAGACCGCCUGGGGAGUACGGCCGCAAGGUUAAAACUCAAAUGAAUUGACGGGGGCCCGCACAAGCGGUGGAGCAUGUGGUUUAAUUCGAUGCAACGCGAAGAACCUUACCUGGUCUUGACAUCCACAGAAGAAUCCAGAGAUGGAUUGGUGCCUUCGGGAACUGUGAGACAGGUGCUGCAUGGCUGUCGUCAGCUCGUGUUGUGAAAUGUUGGGUUAAGUCCCGCAACGAGCGCAAC
Molecule: ribosomal RNA, 1008 nt
Filed under: Salmonella enterica
Lineage: Bacteria; Pseudomonadati; Pseudomonadota; Gammaproteobacteria; Enterobacterales; Enterobacteriaceae
Description: bacterial SSU rRNA
Rfam family: Bacterial small subunit ribosomal RNA
Source: RNAcentral